CGGAUGUAGCCAAGNGGAUUAAGGCAG
This 27-nucleotide transfer RNA is filed under the name Dendrolycopodium obscurum. RNAcentral describes it as "partial tRNA-His". Lineage: Eukaryota; Viridiplantae; Streptophyta; Lycopodiopsida; Lycopodiales; Lycopodiaceae. The record is from RNAcentral.